Pan troglodytes (chimpanzee) is the source of this 2709-nucleotide long non-coding RNA. RefSeq lists it as uncharacterized. The transcript has 4 exons. The record is from RefSeq and is a predicted model, not a curated record. NCBI's taxonomy places the organism in Eukaryota, Metazoa, Chordata, Mammalia, Primates, Hominidae.
GGGGCUCUUAGGGAAUGCCGGUUGCAGGGCAGCUGCCAGGGCUUGGGUUUGGAGCUGAACUUUUUGUUUCAGGCUUGCCUGUCGUUGUACCUCAGCCGCCUCCUCUCAGGAAUUAAAAACUUUGAACGCCAGCUUUACUAAGUCCUGGAUAGGGGUUUGGGGGCCCUCCGCUGCCUCAUCCAGGAUUAGCAGAUAUCACUGCCCGCAGCGAAUGUGUUAGGAGUUGUAGAUGUAGUGGACUGGUAUGACACUAUGGGGAGGUGGAAAUAAGAAUGGGGGUAAGAUGGAAGCCAAGGAGUUAGCUGGGCAGGGUUAAAAGAACAAAUGGGAACUAACGGGAAUUAAAAUGGCGGCCGAAUGGCGGCAGAAGAACUAAAAUGGCGGCAGAGAAAAAAGGAAGUAAGAUGGCGGUGGUGAGGAAGCAGGUAGUAAGAUGGCGGCAGUGCAGAAGGAGAUGGCGGCGGAGAGACUAAGAUGGGGGCCCCCCCGGACAGGAUUAACGGCAAGAGAGGCCGGCCAGACUUCAAGGGGAAAGCUAGCCACAGGGACUUGUGCCAGCGAAAACACUUGGUGGCAGCAGUCCGACUAGAGCAGAGGUCCCAGAACCUUUGAAAAAAUUUGAUUUUUGACUAUUUGCCUUGCCUCUGACAAAAACUGGUAAGGUUGUUUAGGAUAUUGAAGUCGAGUGUGCCUUUGGGGGGCCAGCGAGAUUGGUUGUCCAAGGUAUAUUGCGGCCAGGCAACUGUGCAGAAGAAAAUUAGUCGCUUUCGUUUUAAAUUUUGGUUGAGUUAUAAAGUUGGAAGUUUGCGCAGGAGGCACCCUAAGGGGGUGUUUUGCGUGAUUUUGGACUGGGUGGACCCCAUCCUCUUCCCUUUAUGGCAGCGGUCUGAGGGACAGCAGAAGCAUCCUUCUGGGGUCACUCAGACCACGCGGCUCCUGGAGCCUCGGAUCGGCUACUUCAGACAUGGACGUCUCUGAGUCGUCAGUGCCAAUUUGGACUUCCCCUGGGGAAGUAAACUUGGGUCACCUGGUGACCCGGACUGGCCUUCCCUUGAGGAAGGAAACUCUCCCUGGGCGUGCGCAUGACUCUCGGCCAGGGAGGAACGGACAAAAGGAAAAAGGAGGGGUACUCACCUAGCGUCGGCCGAAUUGGACUGGAGUAGCUGCAGCAACUGCGACCUGGCAGCAAGUAACCAGACGAAAUGGAUGGAUGGCCGUGGAGGAGAAGCCUGACCUGACUGAGGGAGAGGACUGAUCCGACCAGGAGGGGAGUCCCCCUGAGCCUCUGGGGGGCCCGGGUUUCGGCGCCAACAAAAGGCAAUGGAAGGGCACCAUGGAUCAAUAAGGCCGAGAGGCCCAGAAUUUCUUGCCGUUUAUUACACUGUAAAGUGGGAGCAUACACAGAUGUGGAGUGAGGAAGAUAGCAAAGCCCUCUUAAACACAUGUUUGGAUCAUGGACAGACACAGGACUUCAUAAGAAGAGUUCACCAUGCAUGGCGUGGACACACUCCAAGGCUGUUCACACUGGCUUGUUUCCAAAUGGGUACAAAUCCCCUCUGCAUACCCAAGUGAAUGAUCAUCUCCAGUGCAGUGGCUGAGCUACGUGAUUCUCCCAUAACUGUCAUGUUGAUGGUAAAACAACCUGGAGAAAUGAGAAAAAGACUGGUUGGUUAUCAUUUCCUUCCAACUAUCCUUCACACUUCACUGCACCCAUGAGUAAAAUUUGUGUAAUGAAUGCACUGGGUCUGAGCAAUAUUGAUGCCACUGUGUACAAGAAAUAAUCAAGAAGUUAACAAAGCAACGAUGGCGUCUUUGGUAAGUACAGUGCUUAACUUCAGAAAUAAAAGUUGAAACACCAUGACGUCAAACGUUCCCAGCAAAAGCACUCAGAAAAAUGAGAGCACAAUGUUUCAGGGAAUGGAAGAAGACUGUUUUCCCUCUUAUGAGACACAGUCUGUUAAGAAAGGGAGAUUGUGAGUGCCUUCAUUUCAACUUCUUGGUCCCUCCCUUGGGGCUUGGGAUCUCCCAUGUCAAAUGGUCAGCCUGCAGGUAGGCCAGCUCUGUUCUGUGACCCUGGCUUCAAUUCAAGGAGCAAAGAAGUUGUCACUUCUUUUUGUUUCAAUCUCAGUCUCAAGCUUUGUUCUCCACACUACUUUGCCAUCAAAACAGCUGUUAUCCUAUUUCCAAUUUGACUCCGUUGUUUGUAUUUAUACUUCAGCAGUCAGAGAUCUAAAGGGGAGAAGAGAAUGAGGUAGGUAAAUGGUAGGAUGUGGGAUCCAAAGAUAGCCUAUCUUCAACAUCCUGCAAUAUUAAAGCUGGAAGAAGUGAAGCCUUCUUAUGUGAUGAGAAAAAUGCAGAUCAGCUGGGCGCAACAAGGUAUGCUCAGUCACACAGCAUGCCAGGGCGAGAGACACAAGUAGACGUCCGCACGACAGCACAGAGAGGGCAUUGCCACAGACACACUUCAGCCUAAUGAGAGGAGUCCAGGAUGAUGAACUCUUCAAUCUGGAUGAUGUACUUCUAUGGGCAACAUGUAAGAACAGAUCAGCUUUUGUGGUUGUUGAUUAACAUCGAGCUUAAUGCCGAACACAUUUAACUUGUCUAUGUCAUGCCUUCAAAGUCCUCAGAGACAUACACCAUCAACCUGAACAUUGAUUCUUAAUGUGAUGAAUUCUUUCCAUAAUAUAAUAAUAAUAAUAAUAGAACAGU